This 543-nucleotide ribosomal RNA is filed under the name Triticum aestivum (bread wheat). RNAcentral's name for it is "partial small subunit ribosomal RNA". The record is from RNAcentral. Lineage: Eukaryota; Viridiplantae; Streptophyta; Magnoliopsida; Poales; Poaceae.
AUGGCUGCGCGAGCACUGACCGCCGCCGCCCGCCGGGUGGCCGGCCGGACCAGGACAACGCCUCUUCUCGCCUCCUUCAGGAACGGAGCCAGCAUGAACCACUCCUCGGCCACGGCCAGCGCGCGGCGGGAGGAGGAGCAGUACAAGGACGUGCGCGCGACGAUGACGGGGGCGCAGGUGGAGGCGGCGCUCAACCGCAAGAACGUCGAGGUGCUCCAGGGCGAGGAGGAGCACGUCGCCGCGGUGCUGCCGGACGAGACCAUCGGCGGCGCGCUGGACGGCGGCGAGGACGCGUCCUGGGUGCCCGACCAGGACACGGGCGUCUUCGGCCCCGCCGGCGCCGAUACCCACGGCGGCAGCUUGGCUGCCGCUCCACCGCACCUGUUCGGAGGCGCCACGGCGGCCACCACGGAGGGGACGGCGUCGGUGCUGGACCAGGCGCUGUUCGUCCGGGAGGAGGAGAUGGAGGACGUGGAGAGGCCCGCCGCCGUCGACAUGGCCAACGCCAACGCAGACGUCAACGCCAGCAUCAAGAACUACUAG